AUUCAGAACCUGAGAAAUCUUUCCAGUCUUGAUCUCUCCCAUAACCGGUUGUCUAUUAAUGCCAGUGCUAUUAAUCCUUCCUUGCCUUCCUUCCCCAACAUUACCACAUUGAAGUUGGCUUCUUGCAACUUAAUGAAAUUCCCUGAUUUCUUGAAAGAUCAGAAUAGAUUAGUCUAUCUAGACCUUUCAAACAACAAUAUCCAUGGGGAAAUACCCAAAUGGAUUUGGGAAGCCAGAGGUCUUCUUCACCUAAAUCUUUCUCAGAACUUUCUUGUAGAAUUCGAAGGACCUUUGCAGAAUAUAACUUCUACUCUUAGUGUUCUUGACCUUCAUGGCAACCAGUUGCAAGGGAAAUUUUCAUUUUUUCCGCAAGAUGCCACCUAUCUGGAUUACUCAAACAACAAUUUCAGCUCUGAUUUACCAGCUGAGAUUGGAGACUACCUAAAUUUCGCUUAUUUCUUCUCUCUCUCGAGUAAUAAUUUUCAAGGGAGUAUCCCCAGUUCAAUAUGCAACAGUACAUAUCUUCAAGUACUUGAUCUGUCUAAUAAUUCCCUGAGUGGUGGAAUUCCUGAAUGCCUGACACAUUUCAGUAUGUCUCUUGGGGUGCUGAAUCUAAGGAGAAACAAUCUCAGUGGUGUCAUUUCUGAUACAUUUCCGCAAGACUGUGGGUUGCAAACUCUAGAUCUAAAUCGAAAUUUGCUGCAAGGAAAGGUUCCAAAAUCCUUGGCCAACUGCAAAAUGCUGGAGGUUUUAGACCUUGGAAACAAUCAGAUCAAUGAUACGUUCCCAUGUCAUUUGAAGAAUAUAUCCAGGUUGCGUGUCCUUGUCUUACGAGCCAAUAAAUUUAAUGGGAACAUUCAUUGUCCUGAGAAAAGCCCCUGGCCUGUGCUUCAGAUUGUUGACUUAGCUUCCAACAGUUUUAGUGGUAGACUGCAUUACACAUGCUUGUUGACCUGGAAGGCCAUGCAGACUGUCGAAGAUGAAGCGCAAUCAAAGCUCAAACAUCUUCAGUUUGAAAUCCUACAACUCAAUCCAUAUUACUAUAAGGAUGCAAUAACAGUUACCAUGAAAGGCUUAGAGUUGGAGCUGCUCAAGAUCCUAACAGUGUUCACCUCCAUUGACAUUUCAUGCAACAACUUUGAAGGGCCAAUACCAGAAGUGAUCGGAUCAUUCAAAGCACUUUAUGUCCUUAACCUUUCGCAUAAUGCUUUCACAGGGUCAAUCCCAUCAGUUUUAGGAAACCUGAGACAACUUGAGUCCUUGGACCUCUCAAGUAACAACUUUCAUGGUGAGAUCCCAUUCCAGCUAGCAAACCUCAAUUUCCUUGCAUUUCUAAAUGUCUCAAACAAUAAGCUAAUGGGACGGAUCCCGACAACUACCCUGCUUCAAUCAUUUGCAAAAGCUUCUUUUGAAAACAAUGCUGGAUUAUGUGGACCUCCUUUAAAGAGAAAAUGCCAAUUGCCACCAGCUAUCAAACAGAGCUCUUUCGAUUCUAGGACUAGGAGCCACAUCCACUGGAAUUUUAUAAGUGCUGAGAUAGGUUUUUUCUUUGGGUUUGGAAUUGUCAUUACGCCACUAAUCUUUUGGAAGAGAUGGAGGAUAUGGUAUUAUAAGCGCAUUGAUCUUGCUCUUAUCAGGCUUCUACCUUGGCUGGUUCUUGAAAUCAGAAAGCAUGGGAGUAGAGCUAACUGGAACCAAAGGAGGAGGCUCUAGCAACAAUUGCAGGAAUUGAGUGAAAAGAAAUUUGUAUUUUCCAUUUUCUGGCUUCUAUUUCACCUGUAUGCUUUUUUUGCCGCUUCUCUUUCCACCCUUUGCUUUCCUUGUAAAAGGUUUAUCCUGGUUCUUUUGAAACAAAUCGACUUAUUCCCAAAAAAAAAAAAAGGUCGCGUUCCAGCUACUUGUUCGGAGCUAGCAUUCUUUCGGUUUUAGCAAAUACAAAAUAGCUUCACUUAUCUAGCUGAUCACUUGCACGAUUGCAUUAAUGGCAGAACGCUCAUCACUUGGACAACUUAUCCAGAAUGACACUAGUGACUGAAGCUAAAAGUUAAUCUAAUACAUGCCUGAUAAUAAUUUAGUUUCACCUGAUCUUAUCUUGUUUGGAGGUUUGCUACAUAAUAAAAAUGAUACAGACUCCAACCACUUAGAUUGGAUGAUUCACCUAAACCUUAUCGAUCGCCUCUCCAUUGUGAAAAUUUGUCAUCUAUUUUGCGUUAUGUCAAAUCUGAAAUAACUUGUAUUCAGAGCACCCAUAAUCAUAAGAUGAAGCUUUUGCUUAAAAAGUUUUACUAGUAAUUCGUAAGACAGAUUUUUCCUCCACAUGAUAAGGGAAGAAGGGCCGAUAGAUUUCAGAAGGGAAGUUAUUGUAAUGGUGGAGUAGUAAAUUAUACUGUCGUAAACAAUGCAAGUAACAGUCUCGCUUGUAAACUUUGCAUUAGCAAUUAAUAGUAUAGCUUUUCCAAUAUAUAGUCCUGAUUUCCACAUGAUACAUUAGAAAUUUUCAAAAUAAAAUAUGAGAAUAUUGAAAAAUAAAUAAAUAAAAUAAUCGUUUAAAUUAAGAGGAGUAGAAGUCCAUAGGUAAUGGAUUUAAUUUGGUAAUGGACCAUGAGCUUGAAUUUUCAAGCUUGGCAGGUCUUAUAUUAAUUAAAUAAUUAAUAUUAGUAUUUAAUUAAUGCCAUUUGACAUUUAGUACUUGGCAUAAUAAAUAAAAUAAUAAUUUUUUAUUAAUUAAUUGUUUAAUUAAUUAAGUCUGUCCAAAAUAGAUAAACAAUUAACUCUAUCCAAAAUAGACAGACAAAUAAAAACAAAUAAUUUAUACAAAAUAAACAGAUAAAUCUAUUUAAAAUAAAUAAUUUUUAGCUGUUAAUUUGUUUAUUCAAAAUAGACAAUUAUAUUUGUAAAAUAAAUAUAUAUUUAAUUUGUUAUAUAAGCUCCUUUAGUUUUAUGAGAAAAUACAAAAACAAUUCUCAAAACUCUCCUUUUUUCAAUAAACUUUAGAUUUUUUGUUAUAAAGUUUUGCUAUAGAAAACUUCAUAAAAGUUUGUUGAUCUUGUAAUAAGUCGAUAUAUACUCAGUAGAUUGAUUUCGUCAAUAUAAAAUACAAUUAGUCAUUAAACUUCAUUGUAUCUUCAAAGUUUAUUGCCUACAACUCCUUUGCAAACUUAUUAUGUAAAUAAUACAAUGAAGGCGAAUAAAACAUUCAAAAAAUGACACCAUUAUACACCUUGAAAUUUUUUCUCGAAAUUUUAAAUUUACCAGAAACAGUAAUUCUAGAUUUAUAAUUUUGUUCUAUCAGAUUACACCUUUCAUGAUCAAUCCUAAUUUAACUUUUUGGUUCCUUAAUUAGUUCAUCUACAGCAAUGCAGUGAAGGAGUGGUAAGGCUUCCUGAGUAAGACUUAGUUUUAGGCGCCUCUGCCUGUUCAGUGCUAAAGACCUAAAUGAAUGGCAUCUUACUGAUGAAAUGCCAUGCCCUCAGACGCAAUGUGCUUUUAUAUGGAUUUUAUUCCAGCAGGCUAACUUACCAGAAUUUCAAGCAUUAUGCAUAUGAUUUGCCAUGAUCUAAACGAUUUCUUGAAUUAUUUGAUAUUGUUAACAUUUCUAACCUAGAUCAGGCCAAUCAAAAUCUAAAUUGGUCUUUUUUUCAAUUUUUUAGGCUAUAAUUAGGGUUUGAAUCAGAGAUCUUCAGUCUUUAAACCUAGCACCACUGAGCUAACAUUUCAAUGGCGGUUCAUCCUAUUUAACUCUUGAAUUAUCAUACCAAUACCAUGCAGUAGUCCGAUGUGGUCAUUUAACGGAGGAUUUAUCCCUCUAAUAAGUAAAGUCUUAAGCAUAGCAAGAAAGAGAGCAAAGUCAAUAAUUUAGGCAUAUAGUCAGUGACCAAAGUCUAUGGAAUUCCGCAUUCCUUCACUGCAGAAAAUUCUUCUUUCACAAAAUCAAUUCAGUGGUCACCUCCGGCUUGGUGACCUCCAUGGUGAGGCCUCUUUACUAGAUACUCUUGAUCUUAGUAGCAAUAAGUUACAAGGGCCACUUCCGGGGUCUGUAUUUGAACUUCAAGGUCUCAAGAUACUGUCACUUGCUUCAAACAACUUCAGUGGCAUUAUACCGCUGAGUGCCAUUCAGAACCUGAGAAAUAUUUUCAGCCUUGAUCUCUCCCAUAACCAGUUGUCUAUUAAUGCCAAUGCUACUAAUCCUUCCUUGCCUUCCUUCCCCAACGUUACCAAAUUGAAUUUGGCUUCUUGCAAUUUGAUGAUAUUCCCUGAUUUCUUGAAAAAUCAGUAUAGAUUAGUCUAUCUAGACCUUUCAAACAACAAUAUCCAUGG
Molecule: long non-coding RNA, 4317 nt
Filed under: Durio zibethinus
Lineage: Eukaryota; Viridiplantae; Streptophyta; Magnoliopsida; Malvales; Malvaceae
Description: long non-coding RNA (DZIB_LNC000877)
Source: RNAcentral